UUCUGGAUAUGGUGAAGUGUGCAUAGAGGUUGUGAGUGAUCAAUAAAGAAUCAGUCACUCCUAAUAAGGAGAGCGAACAUCCUAUGUGAUCUCAUAGGAUGAUGAUUCUAGAAAUCUUUGGCCAAAGCAGGGUGAUAAUUAGAAAAGAAUUUUUAAUAUAUCAUCAACUGAAUCAUCAUCUUCAAAUCAAUAUACAUAAGGAUAAAUGAUUGGGUUUGACAUAUUUUCAUACCCAUAGCUCAUCUGGGAUAUUGUU
RNAcentral lists this long non-coding RNA (256 nucleotides) under Elaeis guineensis (African oil palm). RNAcentral's name for it is "long non-coding RNA (EGUI_LNC064700)". The record is from RNAcentral. Lineage: Eukaryota; Viridiplantae; Streptophyta; Magnoliopsida; Arecales; Arecaceae.